GUCGAGCGCUUAUUUUUAAUAGGAGCGGCAGACGGGUGAGUAACGCGUGGGAAUCUACCUUUUUCUACGGGAUAACGCACGGAAACGUGUGCUAAUACCGUAUACGCCCUGAGAAGGGGAAAGAUUUAUUGGAGAGAGAUGAGCCCGCGUUAGAUUAGCUAGUUGGUGGGGUAAAUGCCUACCAAGGCUACGAUCUAUAGCUGGUCUGAGAGGACGAUCAGCCACACUGGGACUGAGACACGGCCCAGACUCCUACGGGAGGCAGCAGUGGGGAAUAUUGGACAAUGGGGGCAACCCUGAUCCAGCCAUGCCGCGUGAGUGAAGAAGGCCUUAGGGUUGUAAAGCUCUUUCGCCGGAGAAGAUAAUGACGGUAUCCGGAGAAGAAGUCCCGGCUAACUUCGUGCCAGCAGCCGCGGUAAUACGAAGGGGGCGAGCGUUGUUCGGAAUAACUGGGCGUAAAGGGCGCGUAGGCGGGUAAUUAAGUUAGGGGUGAAAUCCCAAGGCUCAACCUUGGAACUGCCUUUAAUACUGGUUAUCUAGAGUUUAGGAGAGGUGAGUGGAAUUCCGAGUGUAGAGGUGAAAUUCGCAGAUAUUCGGAGGAACACCAGUGGCGAAGGCGGCUCACUGGCCUGAUACUGACGCUGAG
RNAcentral lists this ribosomal RNA (646 nucleotides) under Pseudomonas sp. NZIPFR-PS5. RNAcentral describes it as "bacterial SSU rRNA". It matches the Rfam family "Bacterial small subunit ribosomal RNA", at positions 61 to 750 of the family's 1533-position model. The record is from RNAcentral. Lineage: Bacteria; Pseudomonadati; Pseudomonadota; Gammaproteobacteria; Pseudomonadales; Pseudomonadaceae.